Molecule: ribosomal RNA, 468 nt
Filed under: uncultured bacterium
Lineage: Bacteria
Description: partial 16S ribosomal RNA
Rfam family: Bacterial small subunit ribosomal RNA
Source: RNAcentral
GACGAACGCUGGCGGCGUGCUUAACACAUGCAAGUCGAACGGAAAUGCCCUGCUCUUGUUUUUUUUUCGUUUGUCGCAAGCGUGUGUAUCACGUGUGUAUCCUCUCCUUUACUUUGGGAUACCUUCAGUAAACUGGGCCUAAUAUCCCAUAUGAGCUCCUGCUGCAUGGUGGGGUUUGGAGAGUUUCGUCUGUUCGGUUUAGACUCGCGGCUUAUCAGCUUGUUGGUGGGGUAGUGUCUUACCACGGCUUUGACAGGUAGCCGGCCUGGGCGGGUGGCCGGCACCAUUAGGACUGAAAUACGGCACAGACUCGUACGGGAGGCAGCGGAGGGGAAGAUUGCAUAAUGGGAGGAAGCAAGAUGCAGCAACGCGGCGUGGGGGAUGAGGGCAUUCGGGUUGGAAACCGAUUUCGCCUGUGGAGAAGCGUGAGUGACGGUAAUGAGUAAGGAAGCACCGGCUAACUACGUG